RNAcentral lists this ribosomal RNA (380 nucleotides) under uncultured eukaryote. RNAcentral describes it as "partial 18S ribosomal RNA". It matches the Rfam family "Eukaryotic small subunit ribosomal RNA", at positions 592 to 976 of the family's 1831-position model. The record is from RNAcentral.
CAAUAGCGUAUAUUAAAGUUGUUGCAGUUAAAAAGCUCGUAGUUGGAUUUGUGGCGUACGGUGUGUUCCGGGCACUUGUUGUCUGAGUAACCUGCUGUUGCCAUCCUUGGGUGGAACCUGUGUGGCAUUAGGUUGUCGCGCAGGGGAUGCCCAUCAUUUACUGUGAAAAAAUUAGAGUGUUCAAAGCAGGCUUAUGCCGUUGAAUAUAUUAGCAUGGAAUAAUGAGAUAGGACUUUUUUGCUAUUUUGUUGGUUUGCGCAAAGAGGUAAUGAUUAAUAGGGACAGUUGGGGGUAUUCGUAUUCCAUUGUCAGAGGUGAAAUUCUUGGAUUUUUGGAAGACGAACUACUGCGAAAGCAUUUACCAAGGAUGUUUUCAUUAA